CCCCAGGUCAGGCGGGACUACCCGCUGAGUUUAU
This 34-nucleotide ribosomal RNA is filed under the name Myriophyllum sibiricum. Its description in RNAcentral is "partial 26S ribosomal RNA". Lineage: Eukaryota; Viridiplantae; Streptophyta; Magnoliopsida; Saxifragales; Haloragaceae. The record is from RNAcentral.